AUACGAAGGGUGCAAGCGUUAAUCGGAAUUACUGGGCGUAAAGCGCGCGUAGGUGGUUCAGCAAGUUGGAUGUGAAAGCCCCGGGCUCAACCUGGGAACUGCAUCCAAAACUACUGAGCUAGAGUACGGUAGAGGGUGGUGGAAUUUCCUGUGUAGCGGUGAAAUGCGUAGAUAUAGGAAGGAACACCAGUGGCGGAGGCGACCCCCUGGACUAAUAUUGACACGGAGGUGCGAAAGGGUGGGGAGCAAACAGGAUUAGAUCCCCUGGUAGUCCACGCCGUAAACGAUGUCAACUAGUUGUUGGGUUCCUUGAGAACUUAGUAACGAAGCUAACGCGAUAAGUUGACCGCCUGGGGAGUACGGCCGCAAGGUUAAAACUCAAAUGAAUUGGCGGGG
This 396-nucleotide ribosomal RNA is filed under the name uncultured bacterium. RNAcentral describes it as "partial 16S ribosomal RNA". It matches the Rfam family "Bacterial small subunit ribosomal RNA", at positions 523 to 918 of the family's 1533-position model. The record is from RNAcentral.